RNAcentral lists this ribosomal RNA (206 nucleotides) under uncultured bacterium. RNAcentral's name for it is "partial 16S ribosomal RNA". It matches the Rfam family "Bacterial small subunit ribosomal RNA", at positions 568 to 774 of the family's 1533-position model. The record is from RNAcentral.
CGUGUAGGCGGCCAAGUAAGUCUUACGUGAAAUCCUGAGGCUCAACCUCAGGCCUGCGCGGGAUACUGCUUGGCUAGAGUCCGGAAGAGGAGAGUGGAAUUCCUGGUGUAGCGGUGGAAUGCGCAGAUAUCAGGAGGAACAUCCGUGGCGAAGGCGGCUCUCUGGGACGGUACUGACGCUGAGAGCGAAAGCGUGGGGAGCGAACA